Molecule: long non-coding RNA, 428 nt
Organism: Xiphophorus hellerii (green swordtail)
Lineage: Eukaryota; Metazoa; Chordata; Actinopteri; Cyprinodontiformes; Poeciliidae
Exons: 3
Source: RefSeq, a predicted model, not a curated record
GGCGACUCAAACCAGGCGUCACACAAUCUGUUGACGGUGAUCCUGGGAAGUGUUGUUGUUUUUCUUCUAGUGGUCAUCUUUGGUUUAAUUCUCAAAAUCACGACCUCUCACACCGGUCAAGCUAGCAGACAGAGUCAACAACAAAGAGAGAACUUGAACUCGGAGGCUGUAAGCUAUUCAGCGCUGAAUUUCAGAUCCAAAGCAAAAGGCGACAGGCGGCCCGCUGCAGAGAGAGAGACGGAGGCAAAUGUGAUUUAUUCUGCCACCAGAUAAACUCUCUGACCAGGAAUGAUGUAGUUUUAUCAUUUUAUCUUCUAUUUCUGGGGAUUUUUCUCUCUUCUAAAAAGCUGAAAUAAAAGUUUUGGUUUUUACAAAGACAAGCUUUGACCAAUCCUCAUCUUUAGAAGCAGAAAGCUGCUUUCUGUUUU